GCCCUGGUAGUGUAGCUCGGCCUAUCAUGAAGCCCUGUCGAGGCUUCGACUCGGGUUCAAAAAAGACUCAGCUUCCUUUUUUCACAAAAAGAAGCGAAAUUUGAAAGUCCCGGCCAGGGCG
Molecule: transfer RNA, 121 nt
Filed under: Candidatus Woesearchaeota archaeon
Lineage: Archaea; Nanobdellati; Candidatus Woesearchaeota
Description: tRNA-Asp
Source: RNAcentral